AACUGUACAUCCAUGUGCACAUGAUAAAUAGACAUCCUAUAAAUAAUUUGCCCAGUGAUAGUUGAAAUUUUGAUGAAACAUACCCAAACUAGAGAUGCACUGAUACAAAAUUUGUGUGCAAAAUGAGAUUAGAUUAUUCAGAACAACAUCUGCCAAUACCAAUGAUACAGUAACUUGUUUUAAAUCACUAAUAAUUAAUUACACAAGUUCGAUUGUGUAAUUGAAAUAACUUUAUUCUUUAUGUCUAUAUAUGUCUGCCAUGUUUCAGAGUUACUGGUAUCAGUUAUAAACAAAACAUUGAAUCAAAAAGAUUAUUUUUAACUCACAUUGACCUUCUUAACACACAUUAACUAAAUUCUAAAUAGCCUCUUGUUAGACUCGCAUUAAAUUGGUAAGACUUUUUUAAUUAAAUGAACUGAAAUUAUGAAGCUAGUCCCUUUAUAGCUGGAGCUGGCUCUGCUUUAGCUUUAACAAACUCAAAUUCAAUGCUGUGAUUAUUUGUAAGGCAAAUAAUCCAAUUAGUUGUGUUAAAAGUUACACCUUGUGAAAUUAAUACAUAUUAAUAAUCUAAGUAAUACAAUACUAAAUACAGAACAAUCCAAUUAUUGUUUUUAUUGGCCGAUAUCAAUGUUUGGAAGAGAUGGUACAUCUCUAAUCCAAACACCUAAAAACAUACAGUAGGCUUUGGGGGCCUGGGUAGCUCAGCGCGUAUUGACACUGACUACCACCCCUGGAGUCGCGAGUUUGAAUCAGGUCUCCUAUCCAACCAAAUUGGCUUGGUUGCAAAUGAAUUUCUGUUUAUGUUUUGGCCUGUCUGAUUCUGCCCACUCACAAAUUGUAUUUAGACACUUCCGGGUAGCCAGAUUUGAACAAGUUUGCAGGCAAACAAUGCUGCAUGCUGCUGCCAUGGAAGCCAGCAAACGAAGUGGAUCAGAGAUAACAGAUUCCACCCGACCUAAAAAUCCUCACCAUCCAUCUAAAAUCCACCAUGACUGGAGUGUAGUAAAACAAGGAUAAAUAUAGCUGCAAGCAGCGAUGGCGGGCCCAAGCCGGUGGCACCGCCACCCCCGUGCCUUUAGGGUCGCUGUGCACGAUGGGCAAUAACAUAACCUCGCUUUGACUGUCGAGAAGAUGUGUGCUGUAGAGCUUGCAUCAGUGUGGGCUCUGCAAAAGUGCGCAUCGAGGGCACAUAUCAACCACAAAGUAUGCAAGAAUAUGUAACGAGGCACACGUGCCAGGUCUUGUGUGUCACACUUGUAUAAGGUUCAAUAUAAUUCGAUAUGGGCCAACUGAUCAGAAGAUAAGGAGCGGCUACUGAGAGAGGGAAACAACACAGCAGGUAGGUGAAAACCAAGAGCUUUUUUUACUGGUUGGAAUCUUGUAUUCGUUCAAGAAAUUCUUAAUUGCAAUUUGUCUGGAGCAUGUAAAUCUCAAUACUGUAAUUUGACAACAUACAAUGUAUGAUAAUGCUUACAAUCAAAUCUCUUUUUGAAAUUCCAGGAAGUUGGACUCAUCAACUCAAACAAAUCAACUCAAUUGACAACAGUUGUCAUAUACUUUGUAUGAAAAUGAAAUAAUAAAAUGAAACUUGGAAAACUCAGACUCAGUUUGGUUAUGACCCAAUAACAUUUUUAGAAACAGUAAACAAUGUUCUCAAAACAACAUAUUGCAACUUAAUAACUCAAAACACUCUUUCAAUUUAAAAUGUAACAGUCUUUUCAGCCAAAUGAAUCAAAUGUUAAAAAUCCACUGAAUUGAUUCAGUUAGUGUCAGUUCAGAGUCAAAUGACUCGGAUCAAAAAAGUUUUUGACUCUUUAGAAUCGUUCAGUUCAGAAUCGAUGUCUCUCCGUUCAAAGCUCGAGGAAAAAUAUGCAAAAACAAAGUCUCGGUCCAAUUUGUCCGAAAACGAAAAGGUUUCUCAUACCAGUUUCGAUGAGUUCAAGAUCAAAGUUCAAUCAAAUGGUCUCCGUGGGUGGCUCGCCUUU
Xyrauchen texanus (razorback sucker) is the source of this 1985-nucleotide long non-coding RNA. RefSeq lists it as uncharacterized. NCBI's taxonomy places the organism in Eukaryota, Metazoa, Chordata, Actinopteri, Cypriniformes, Catostomidae. The record is from RefSeq and is a predicted model, not a curated record. The transcript has 2 exons.